RNAcentral lists this ribosomal RNA (530 nucleotides) under uncultured bacterium. Its description in RNAcentral is "bacterial SSU rRNA". It matches the Rfam family "Bacterial small subunit ribosomal RNA", at positions 148 to 694 of the family's 1533-position model. The record is from RNAcentral.
CUUCCGAAAGGAAGAUUAAUACCGCAUAAUGUUGAAAGAUGGCAUCAUCAUUCAACCAAAGGAGCAAUCCGCUAUGAGAUGGACCCGCGGCGCAUUAGCUAGUUGGUGGGGUAACGGCCUACCAAGGCGACGAUGCGUAGCCGACCUGAGAGGGUGAUCGGCCACAUUGGGACUGAGACACGGCCCAGACUCCUACGGGAGGCAGCAGUGGGGAAUAUUGCACAAUGGGGGAAACCCUGAUGCAGCAACGCCGCGUGAGUGAUGACGGUCUUCGGAUUGUAAAGCUCUGUCUUUGGGGACGAUAAUGACGGUACCCAAGGAGGAAGCCACGGCUAACUACGUGCCAGCAGCCGCGGUAAUACGUAGGUGGCGAGCGUUGUCCGGAUUUACUGGGCGUAAAGGGAGCGUAGGCGGAUUCUUAAGUGGGAUGUGAAAUACCCGGGCUUAACCUGGGUGCUGCAUUCCAAACUGGGAAUCUAGAGUGCAGGAGGGGAGAGUGGAAUUCCUAGUGUAGCGGUGAAAUGCGUAGA